RNAcentral lists this ribosomal RNA (106 nucleotides) under Streptomyces mimosae. Its description in RNAcentral is "Streptomyces sp. 3MP-10 partial 23S ribosomal RNA". It matches the Rfam family "Bacterial large subunit ribosomal RNA", at positions 2820 to 2925 of the family's 2925-position model. Lineage: Bacteria; Bacillati; Actinomycetota; Actinomycetes; Kitasatosporales; Streptomycetaceae. The record is from RNAcentral. RNAcentral also lists the same sequence under 1 other name.
UUGAUGGGGUAAGGCUCCCUGUAGACGACAGGGUUGAUAGGCCGGAGAUGGAAGCCUAGUGAUGGGUGGAGUUGACCGGUACUAAUAGGCCGAGGGCUUGUCCAUA